AAAUUUCCCAAGGCAGAGCGAAAACCUUUCCUGAGCGACUGAGCAUGCCCGGUGGUGAAAGGGUAUGUGGUUUAAACUCUCCACGGACUGACAAAAUCAGGUUUCUGACUCUGCAAAGCUAAGAAGACUCUGCUCCUGGAAGGCCUCUCCACUGACAGACUGAGUCAUAUUCGAAAUAUUUACCAACAGACUGAACAACUGAACAGAACAGACAACGUGCCUGGCUGUUACGCUGUCUAGGUGAAGGGAAACCAAAUGACCAGCUCAAGGACCCAUGCUAGGUGGAACCACGAGGAGCACAGGACCCAGACCACAUGACUUCCAGCUUGCUGCAUUCCUCUUUGUCCAGUCAAAGCCUCCUUAGCUGUGGGCAGGCUGCUGGUCGUCGGAGAAGCUGCCUGCAGAGAUGCUGGGACACGCUUUUUAUAAACCAGGAAUCCAGGACAAAGGUAGAAAAUCCUUUGUGUCUCACUGAGCUGGAAGUUCACAAAUAAUCAGUUGUCUUGUCUGCAUGGAAGCAAAGGACAUCCCCAUUGUACAGAUGAAGAAAGUGAG
Lagenorhynchus albirostris (white-beaked dolphin) is the source of this 555-nucleotide long non-coding RNA. RefSeq lists it as uncharacterized. The record is from RefSeq and is a predicted model, not a curated record. NCBI's taxonomy places the organism in Eukaryota, Metazoa, Chordata, Mammalia, Artiodactyla, Delphinidae. The transcript is spliced from 5 exons.